AACGCCCUCCAUAUUUUUCCCCAUUCGAAGAAACCUACCUUACUUUAGAUGACAUUUCUUUUGACGAUGCUGCUUUUGGGUUUGAUUCUAAAACUGAUGACUACAAAGUCAUACGAUUUGUUACUCUUACUUUUGUUAAUAGUGAAGAAGAAUAUUCACAUCCUCAUUUUAUGUACCAAGUUGAGUUGUAUUCUCUUAGAAGUAAUUCCUGGAAGGAAAUCCCAUCUCCUGAUGAUAAACCAACUGAAACAAAUUUGGGAAAUAAUUAUGUAGACGGAAUUUGCUAUUGGAAAACAGAGACAGGGGCAUAUCUUGAUUUUAGAGGACUAAUUCUUUCAUUUGACAUGGGGAAAGAGAAGUUCUCAAUUUUACCUAUCCCAGAAUUCGUUGGGUCUUUCCCAGAAUACUAUGUUGAUCUAUUGGUGUUUAAUGGAUCACUUGGUGCUAUUGUUUACCCAACGGAAAGAAUUGACACGUCUUUUGAUUUAUGGGUUACAAGUGAAGGAGUGUGGACUAAACAAUUCAAUAUUAAAUCCAUUUCUGGAGUUGUACACCCAUUGGGAUUUGGAAAAAAUGGUGACUUGUUUCUUAGAGACACAAAUGAUGAAGUACUCCUAUUUGACGCCUCCACCCAAGAGCUUAAGGAGCUUGAGAUUAAUACUUAUCUAGAUCAUUUUCGGUUCGACAUUUCCCUUCAUGUUUAUUUAGAGAGCCUGGUUCGUAUCAAUGGAAUAAAAGAGAUUGAGAAACAUGUAAUACGUCAACCAGCGAGAGAUGCAUAAAAUGAAUACUAAUGAGUGAUUAUAUUUUAAUAUUUAUUUGCAUAAAAAUUAAAAUUGACUGAUUUUCUUGAAAAACUAAUCUACUUUAUUUUUGCCAGUAAAUUUGGUAGUGGUUAGACCUGCAAAUAAGAAUAUUUUAUCGUAAUCCUUCUUCACAUGGAUAAACCUGCAAAUAAGAAUAUUUUGAUGCAUGAAGAUACCAGCUAACCAAUUAUACAUUAAGAAGGCUAUGUGUGAUCUAGGGGCUUCUAUAAAUGUAAUGUUAUAUUCUAUUUAUGAAUCACUUAACGUGGAUUUUUUGACAAAAACAGGUGUUAUCAUUCAAUUGGCGGAUAGGUCUAUUGUGCAUCUAGAAGGAGUCCUUGAGGAUGUUCUGGUAAAAGUUAAUGAGCUUAUUUUCCCUGCAAAUUUUUAUGUGAUCAAAAUGGAGGAGGAUAGCACUCCUGGAUCUUCAAAUCUCCUGCUGGGUCGACCGUUCCUUAGUACAGCUAGUACUAAAAUCGACGUUCGAAAUGGAACUCUCACGAUGGAGUUUGAUGGGGAGAUUGUAAAGUUUAAUGUUUACGAAGCCAUUAGCCAUCCAAGUGAAAUCUUGAACGUAAAUCGUAUCGACAUAAUUGACUCUUUGGUGGAAGAGAAUUUUGAGUCAAUUUGUGGAGAUAAUUCUGAACUUGAUGAAUUUGAAUCUGUUAAUGAGUUAUUAUCUCCAAAUACUAAAUUGUUUCCUUCUGUUGUACACGCACUAGAGUUGGAGUUAGAACCCACAGGACAGGCAAGGAAAUUAGACAUCCAAGAGUUAGAAGAAAUUCGCAAUGAUGCCUACGAUAAUGCUCACAUUUAUAAAGACAAAACAAAGUAUUUUCACGAUAAGAGAAUAACCCAGAAGCAUUUUUCGGUAGGACAAAAAGUUUUACUUUAUAACUCUGUGUUAAAGUUAUUCCCAGGUAAACUUCGACCAUGAUGGCAAGGACCUUUUAUUGUUAGUAAAGUGUUCACACAUGGAGCGGUUGAAAUAGAGAGUGAAGAAUUUGGAAAGCGGUUCGUAGUCAAUGGCCAACGGUUGAAGCCGUUUUAUAAGAAUUUUCAAGCUCACACGGUUAAGAAAAUCCAUUUGGAACCACCAUAGAACCAAUAACAGCGUCUAGCUAACGACGUUAAACAAGUGCUUGUUGGGAGGCAACCUAAUUUUUUUUUUUUUAUUAUUUUUCUUUCUUUACUUCAUUUUAUUUUAUUAUUUAUUACUUAUUUGGAUAUUAGUUAAUUUUUCUUCUUUUGCUUAGAUAAAAUAGAGCGAAAAUGCGAAGAAAACCGUUGAGCAACACUUAGAGCUCAUUGAGGCCCGACUUGAAACCUUUAGCUAGUAACCGACCGAGCUCAUUGCCAUCAUAUGCGAUCGACAGAAACAACACGGGGAGUUUUCCUAAACUUUUCUACCUAUUUAUUUCUUUUCGUCCACAUUGAGGACAAUGUGCUUUUCAGUAGGGGGAGGAACUCUUCGUUAUUACUGUAAUUUUUUGCUGUGAUUAUUUUUGGCUGGUGUUGCUACUUGAGGCUUUAUUUUGUCCAUGUUUAUUUUUUUGGAAUCUCCUGCCUCUUUUCAUGCCCAAGAUUUUUACCAAGAAUUGCCUACUGUUUGACCUACAAGCAUGAUUCUUGUUUUCUGAGAAAAUUACGGAUUUCCAUAAUUGAUGCCAUCUCCACUGUUUUAUUCUUAUUAGACUAAAAAUAAUUGUGAUUCAUAGAGUUAACUUUAUCUUGCUUUUCGUAAAAUUGAUCAAGUUUAAUACAAAGUGGACACUUAAGAUGUUUGCAUGCUAAAAUAUGUUGAUGACUAUUAAGGUAAUUACUGAAACUUAUUUUUCACACUUGAUUAUUAUUAUUUCUCUAAAGUCCUCAUAAAAAAGUUAUUAUUAAAAUGUCGUUUAAUGUUUCCGUGGUUAUGAGUUUAGCUUAAAAACGUGACUGACUGAGUAACCGGGGUAGGGUGCUUGGGUUGUCAUCCUAUUUCGCGUCAAAAGGUUGUGUGACGUGUUAGAUAAAACUCCGCUAACCAAAAUUAAUUUUUAGGAACAUGUUGGGCUGAGUAACCGGAGUGGGGUGCUUGGCUGUCAUCUCUCUUUGCGUCAAAAGGUUCGAUGUGUUCUUAAGAAAAAAAUAUAAUAAAUUAGGAUUCUGCUGGGCUGAGGAACCGGGGUGGGGUGCUUGGCUGUCAUCUCUCUUCGCGUCAAAAGAUUCAGUAUAUUCCUAAAGCAUAAAAAAAAAGAGACAAAAUAAAAAGAAAAAAAUAAUUUGGGGACUAAAGGAGGAAACAAAUAGGGUGUCUUGGUAGGUUUGGUAAUUUACCUAAUUUUCAUUAAAUAAAUCAAGUCGAUUCUAAUUUGUGUGUGUAUUAAUUGGAAAACUUUUUUUCUGUUUUACUUAAAGUAAGCUUAGGGUUCUCUUUAUUUUUCAUAUUCAUUUUUGACUAAUUUUUAUAAAACUUUGGAGUUGUAUUUCUUUUAUGGCAGGGUCUAACUUUCACAGUAAAUAGGAACCAUACUUGAGGGCAAGCAUGGGCUAAGUAGGGGGAUUUGAUAACACUCUAGAAUAACGUAUUUUUAUGUAUUAAUUAUGUAUUUAUUCUGAGUAUGAUCCUGUUAGUUUGAGCUAUUUAUGAUCUUUUAUCUCAUAGGGACUAAAUUUGAGGCAAAAGCAAAAUUAAGGCCCAAAAACAUGAAUUAAUAGAUAAAAUGGGUCAAUGUGCGACACAAGGAAAAGUUGGUGCCAAAAGUGCAAGCAUGGAGGACACAAGGGUUGAAAUGCAAAAAGAAGAGAUUUUUUUUCUAUUAAACUCUAUUUAAUUAUAUUAGGAUAAUUAAUAUUGAGAUAAUUAUUAAGGAUUAUUUUUAGGAUUUUAUUUUAUCUUUAUUUAUCUUCAAUUAAAUGUAUUUAUCUUUUAGGAAUUUAAGUAGGAUUAGAAUAUCUCCCCUAGCACUAUAAUAGGGGGUAAAGUGACUCAAAAGGGGAUCCCAUCUUUUUCUGUAAACACUCUCUCCCCAAAAGUCUAGGCUUUUGUUCUUUUCAUAUUUUUUUUUCAAUAAAAUCUUUAUUUUUAUUUUAUUUAUUUUCUUUUCUUUCCACAACCAUGAGCCACUAAACCCAUCUAGCCGAAGGUUGUCAAAAAUCCCCCAAGAGGGUUCAUGAGGCUUAGAACCGUACUUAGCCUCCUUGCUGAGUAUUCAUCGUUUCUCCGCACUACGGGGCUGACGCUUCCAUCCAUGUCCCUUAAGAAGUUGUUUUGGGAAGGCGGCCGCUUUGUAUGUUUUGGGAAGGUUGCACAGUCGGUUCGUUAGUUUACUGCGUCAGAGGUUGGCGAGCCCAAGAGACAAAAUGGUGUGGGAUUCGCCAUUAAGAAGCGUUGAUCUAGCAUAAGACGAUCCCACAGAAGCGAUUGUUGGCUAGAGUCAGGUUCCACUAAGUUGUAAGUCUAAAUUCUUGGAGCUGGUGGUCGUAGGCGUCCUCUUCCACUAUAACUGGCUUAUUCGGUUUGGGAACGAUCAUCUAAAAGUCGAGGAUUGAACCCAAGGCGGAACGAGACAACUGGAGGCUGGAAUCUCCCAUAAGAAUUUCCUUUCUCUCAACUCUAUUUUUAAUUUCUCAAAUUUUCGAUUCAAUAUUCUUAGUUCUGUUUUUAUUUUAUUCUUCCUUUCUAGAUCCAAACCUUUAAUUCUAUUUUUUUUAAAUUUUUUUCAGGAACACAGGUUGUCUUGGGCAAGACUCUGCCUGAGAUUCCACGGAACAAGAUAUUGUGCAAUCCAGUCCCUGAGGAUUUGACCCUACUUCCCUUUUACUAUUCUUUUUCAUUAUUUAUUAAGGAUAGGAUAUUUUUGGUGCUUUCAAUGACCGCAUCACCGACCCAUUUUUUUAAUAAACACCAAAAUUGUAUUUUAAAAAUAAAAAAGUAUUUUAAAAAUACUUUAAAAUUAAAAAAUAAAUAUUUAUUAUAUAAAUACUAAAUGUCUAAUGGGAAAUGGGGAAAUGGGGAAAUGGAAAAUGCAUUUUAAAAAUAAAAAUAUAUAUUUAUUAUAUAUUCAGGCCGAGCCCGGGCCAAAAAAGUUUUGCCAAUGGGCCUCAUUUUUUGCCCAAACCCAUAUUUCGGGCCUAUAUUUUUACCCAAACCCUCCCAUCUUUUGGGCAGGCCGUCGGGCCGGGCUGCCCAACCCAUGAUCACCUCUAAUUAGCACCCUCGUAACACCCAAAAUCGGUACCUAGUUGAUUAAUUAGUGUCUCAGUGUCGAAAAUUGAAAACUUUGAAGAGAUUUAAAAUACGAUCCUUUGUUAAAAUAUUAAAAAUUUUUGAGAAAUGGACAUAUUUCACGUUAAUCGAGAAAAAGAAUUGCGUCCCGUGAAUUAGGACACAAUGUCUUAAAUUCCUAAUGCACAAAUAAACGUCGAAAAAUUUAUUUUAAAAGAUGUUUGACUAUAUCGAUUUAAAAGAAAAUCAUAUUCCGUAAGUAAUGACACGAUCUUUUAGUAAUUCCCGAGAUUAUUUAAAAUUUAUGCUUAAAAAUGUUCAGGCAUUUGGAUUUUUUUUUAGAAAGUCGAAACCCCGUAAGUUAGGGAACAACUUUUCAAAUUUCAAAAUACGAAAUAGUGCUUGUUUAAAACAUCAUUUUUAAUGUAUCGAGUAAAAUAUAGCACGAUUUUGUACGUAGUAAAAUGUGAGAAAUAAAUCACGGUACUACCAUACAUAGCAGAAUAAUAAUAAAUGCGUAAUAUGAAUGACAAUAAUAAGGACGAAAAUAAAAUAAAAUAAAGAAAUAAGCUAUAUAAAUAAAAAGAAAAAAUAAUAGGUAAAAACUAAAUAAAAAAAUAGAACCUAAUAGUAAACCAAUAUAUAAAUAAAUAAUAUGUAAAAUAGUUUAAAAAUAAUAAUAAUGAUAAUAAUAUUAAUAUAAAUAAUAAAUAAUCUAAAGUUUGAAAGGAUUUAGAUAGAUAAAUAAUAAGAUAAUAAUAAAAAAUAUCUAAAAGAAACAAGGAUAAUAAUAAGUAAGUAAACGCAAAAAGGAAAAAGAAAUAUAAUGUAAUAAUAAUAUUAAAUUAAUUAGUUUAAUAAUAUUAUAAUAAUAACAACAGAAAAGGAUUAAAUUGAAAAUGAAACAAAAUCUUAGGGGAGAAAUCGGGAAUAAAAUGAGGUAAGGGACCGAAUUGCACUACGCGAAUGAAAUGGAGGGAUCGAAAUAGAAAAUUAUAAUAAGUAUAUAUAAAAUCUAUAUGUAUAUAAAUUAAAAUACGUGGAUAUAGAUAUAAGUAUGUGUAUGUAUAAAAAAUGAAAUAUAAAAGUAUAUUUAUAAUAACCUUAAAAAUAUACAUAUAUAUAUAUUAGAAAAGCAUAUGCGGAUAUGUAUAUAUAUAUAACAAAAUUAUAAUAAGUAUAUAAAAAAAUUAUAAUAAGUAUAUAAAAAUUAUAAAAAAAACUACAUCACUGUUUGUGACUUUUAAAAAAUAAAAAGAUUGAAUUCUUAAAAAUAAAAUUAAGUAUUAAAUUUCAAAUAUAUAAAAAGUACAUAAAUGUGAUAUCCUUUAAAUUUAAUCUUUUAAAAAUUGGGAAUUAAAUUCAAAAAGUAUGAAUUAUAUUAUAUUUGAUCUUAAUCCUUCCUCACAUGGAUACAAAUGCAAAUAAGUAAAUUUUCCUAAAUUCCAUAUAAUUAUUAUAACCUAUCAAAUGCUUACCUUUUAUGCUUCUUUGCUUCCUGGUUAAGGUUUGGACCAUACCAACUCCCAUUUUGCUCGCUUAUUCAUUCCUUUUAGUCAAUUACAAAGAAAAUGAAAAUAGAAAGAUGCAGAGGCCAAGGUUUGAAUUGCCAGAAGCUUUGGUUAUGGAAAUUCUGUCAAAGCUUCCAGUUAAAUCCCUUACUCGCUUCAACUGUGUUUGUAAGUAUUGGUGUUCUUCUUUUCAAACUCCUUAUUUCAUUUCCAAUAAUUAUCACAACAACCUUAAUCUACUGCUUAGUCUCUGUGGUGGUAACACCUUCCAACGUUAUUUCUCUCAACUUUCAAAUGAAAAAUAUCAAAAUUAUAUAGUAAAACAAAACAUUCACUUGCCCUUUUUUAAGCAUGAUCGCCCCUCUGUUUAUGGUGCUUGUCAUGGAUUAUUGUGUUUACUUGAUCCUUCAAAGGAUAAGGCUGCCAUUUGGAACCCAUCAACCAGAGAGUUUAAAAUCCUUCCACCAUCUUCAAUCCAACGCCCUCCAUAUUUUUCCCCAUUCGAUGAAACCUACCUUACUUUAGAUGACGUUGAAUUUAACCACGCUGCUUUUGGGUUUGAUUCUAAAACUGAUGACUACAAAGUCAUACGAUUUGUUACUCUUACUUUUGUUAAUAGUGAAGAAGAAUAUCCACAUCCUCAUUUUAUGUACCAAGUUGAGUUGUAUUCUCUUAGAAGUAAUUCCUGGAAGGAAAUUCCAUCUCCUGAUUAUAAACCAACUGAAAAAACUUUGGGAAAUAAUUAUGUAGACGGAAUUUGCUAUUGGAAAACAGGGACAGGGGCAUAUCUUGAUUUUAGAGGACUAAUUCUUUCAUUUGACAUGGGGAAUGAGAAGUUCUCAAUUUUACCUAUCCCAGAAUUCGUUGGGUCUUUCCCAGAAUACUAUGUUAAUCUAUUGGUGUUUAAUAGAUCACUUGGUGCUAUUGUUUACCCAAAGGAAAGAAUUGACACGUCUUUUGAUUUAUGGGUUACAAGUGAAGGAGUGUGGACUAAACAAUUCAAUAUUAAAUCCAUUUCUGGAGUUGUACACCUAUUGGGAUUUGGAAAAAAUGGUGACUUGUUUCUUACAGACACAAAUGAUGAAGUACUCCUAUUUGACGCCUCCACCCAAGAGCUUAAGGAGCUUGAGAUUAAUACUUAUCUAGAUCAUUAUCGGUUCGAUAUCUCCCUUCAUGCUUAUUUAGAGAGCCUGGUUCGUAUCAAUGGAAUACAAGAGAUUGAGAAACAUGUAAUACGUCAACCAGCGAGAGAUGCAUCAAAUGAAUACUAAAUAUGAAGAAGGAUAUGCAUGAAAUGGAUACUGAAUAUGAAGAGGGAUGUGGAGCUAGAACAUAUAUGUGUAAGAAUAAUAGGAAUUUUUUGUUGUGAGCUUCUUAAUAUUGCUAUUAUUGUUUGGGUUAUAUGUUUGAGAUGUUAACUAUUUCCUGGUUUCUGUAUUUGGAGAAUUGUUCAGCUUAUGUUUGGUUUUUGUUGCUUAGAUAUCUAUAAGAUUGCUUAGAUGUUGAUA
RNAcentral lists this long non-coding RNA (8035 nucleotides) under Gossypium raimondii (Peruvian cotton). RNAcentral describes it as "long non-coding RNA (GRAI_LNC009697)". Lineage: Eukaryota; Viridiplantae; Streptophyta; Magnoliopsida; Malvales; Malvaceae. The record is from RNAcentral.